Long non-coding RNA from Zonotrichia leucophrys gambelii, 3686 nucleotides. RefSeq lists it as uncharacterized. NCBI's taxonomy places the organism in Eukaryota, Metazoa, Chordata, Aves, Passeriformes, Passerellidae. The record is from RefSeq and is a predicted model, not a curated record. The transcript is spliced from 4 exons.
UAUAUACCUGGGUUUUACCAUAAAAAACCCCAAGAAUGUGUUUCCUCUCAACAAGCCCUAGUUGUGCAGUGGGUGGCAAUGGGUUAAUGCAAAUCAACUCUGAGGCUUCACACCUGAGAGGCAGAGACCCAACUGGCUGAAAGAGAGAGCGGGGAGCACCUGGGGCUUUGCAUUUUGGGGUGGGGUGGUCUGGCACCUGCUUCUUGAGGUGGAGGGCCAAAAAAGGGAACAGGAGACCAACUGUAAAGUGCAACAAGAAAAACACAACAAAACUGGUGUGGUGGCUGUUUUUCAGCUUCAGAGACUCCCUGACAAGUUACUGUUGGGAAUGUGCUUCAUUUUCAAAGCCCUGUUUGAGCAUGCUCAUAAUUUACCUGUGGCAACCUUAGUUGCUUUCCAGAUAUCCCCAGUCUGGCAAGUUAUAAAGCACUGAGUGGACUCAAGAAGGAACAAGUGGCUUAACCAUGUCACUACUGCAGCCCAGGGUGUUCCACGGCCAUGAAAAGGGUCAGAGAUUGUUGGAGGAGGCCCAUGUCUGCAACCAGAAGCACUAAAAUUGUGAAUUGGAGCUGUCCCACACUGGGCAAAUCUUCCCUUCCUGUGCUGAGGUGAGGCAGUGACAUGCAGUGAGGGACAAAGCUGCCCAUCUCCUUCCCUCUCCCCCACUUUGACCUUCUUAGACUCUGAUACUGUCUCUUGAUGGAGGAUUAAGAAGGAUGGGAAGGCAGAAGGAAUUUCCCAAGUUUUGAAUGCCUGAUGCAAAGAACUCCUUUGAAAGGAGGGAGAUGCUGAGAGCCAGCCUGCAGCUGAUGGGCUGUGUCUCGUGAUGGCAGAGUUAAUCUGGGUAAGCAGAGAUUAACUGAGCUGCUGGAUUGGAUAAUGCCUGAACUGGUUUAUUGCAGCUUCUGCUGAUAAAGCAGCCCAAGCCUCAGAGACCCCUCCUUGUCUGCAGCUCUGCAGGGUGAGGGCCUGUGCCCAUGGCAGCAGUGCCUCAGGCACAGGAAGGCCCCAGGAAGAGGUGGCAUUAAUGAAAUCAUCAAUUUUAUAAGCAUUUGCCUGGAUCCCCUAAAGGUUUAAAUAUUUAUGAGUUAGACUUCACUAAGAAUCUGGUCCCUUGUGCUAAAGUGGAGAGUGAAAUAAAGGAGCAGCACAACAUUUAGGGAGAAUUUGUGCAGAAAGUGAAGUACAACAUCCAGUAAAGCCUAGGAAAAUAAAUCUCUCUGGAACAGAGAAAAACCUACAGGAACAGUCUGAGUUGGCAAAUCCCUGUGCAACUUCAUAGCUGAUCAAUAGAUGUUAUUUAGACAAAUAUCACACUGCUACAUUCUACCAACAAUCUCUUUUAAACAAACAUGGUCAUGCCAGGCUUUCUUGUUUGGCUUCUAAACAUAAAUCUGCUGAAAAUAUGACUCCCACAAAAUCUGAGUCUAUUCAAGCAUUUUGAAUAAUGGCCUGUUUACUUGUGUUUUCACCCUUUCAUUACUUUAUGUCCAUGUAGAGUUUCAAUGCAAGUCAGUUCCAAAGCCUUUGAGACCACACAUUCCUUGUGAGCAUUCCCUCAGGUUUCUCUGCCUCAUUCUUUAGUAUUCAUGAAUAGCAAGAAAACAUAACCUGAUGUUAGUCAAACUCUUGCCUGCAUAAAAGGGAAACCUCAGAAGGUCUGUUUCAGACUUAACUUUGCCUAGUUCUUCUCGUAUCAGUGCAGAAAUUGGCCAGCCCUCCCUGACUGAUGUCUGCUUGGCCACUUCCCAAAAGCUUCCUUUUUGAUGGAGACCUUGUAGAGUUUCUGGGCCAUCUCUCCUACUCAGCCAAACUUACAGCUGGUUUUUGGGGCUUUUUAAAUGUCCAUCUAAUUUUUAUCCUGCAAUUUAUACACAUGGCCAUUUAUGUAAGGGACAUGGAGAAUGAAGAAAGCCUAUACUUGGUCAAGGAGUAAUGUCUGAGCACUAGCAUUACCCUGUCAUGCUGUCAGUGUGGGGCACAGAGCACUAAAUUCCUAUUCCACGUCUUAAAAGCAAACAACAAGCCCCACCCCAGUUCAUCCCCAUUCUAUAAGAUCAAGAAAAGCUCAAACUCUUGUGUACUCUGCCUGAGUGGAGAUUUUUCAUUCACUCAGGUCUUGUUUAUUGGUUUACAUUGAAAAGUCUGUCAGUGCCUCAGUUUCCUGGUGUUAAUAGAAUUUAUGCCAAUCCCUUGCUAACCAAGUAAAGAAACAAUGAGAACUCUUUAGGUACUUCUCCAAAAGGCCUUCUCUUGAAAUUUGUGGGUGUUUUUUGUCCUGAAAGACUUCACCUGUAAAAGCAAUUGGGACUAUGGAUCUCUUCUGUAAAUACAGACCCUUCCCUCCAGCAAGUCUUGAGGUUUGUACCUGUCUAAUGGUCCUAGUGUGAGUGACAAAUCUACACCUGAAUUGUAAAAGACAUCCAUUUUCCUGGAUUUGAGCUUGUAGACAGCCAAGUACAAUGGGGCUUUGUUCAACAAGUAACCAGAAACAGCUCAGGCUAAAUAGCUGCCAAAUGGAACAGCUUUCUAAGAGCACCCCUGUCACUACAAAACUGUGCCAAGUCUGGAAGUGGGUUCAGGAACAGAGUUUAAAGGAUGUAGAGAACAAAGCAAUCACAAGGUUAAAUUUCGUUAUCUUGGUGCACUGAAGUGCAAAGGAACGGAAGGAUUCCAUUUAAAGGGCAAAUCCAGUGAGCUGGAUACUUUAGUUACCCAAACAUCAGCAGGUCGUGUACCUGUUCUGUGACAGCUCUGCAGCUAUGACACAUCUGCAUUACUGUGCUAAUCUUCAUAGAGUCAUAACCCAGCUGAAACUAUCCAAGCAGUCCCUCAGUUUAAAAAUGUUCUUUCCAUGCUUCAACAUUAGAACCUUCCAGGCAAGAAUAGUUAGGAGAGGGAGAGAACAGUUAAUGGAAUUGUUCCCAACACUUCUGACCUCAGCACUUCUGUCCCCCCUCAAACACUGACAGGAAUCCCAUCCAUGAUGGAAAUCUGUUGCAGGACUUGGCAUCUACAGAACUGAGCCUCUGCAGAAGGACAACUACUGAGGCUGUGAGGCCAGCCUGUAUCUCCCACAAAUGAAAUGCUUCCUUGAGCUGCUUAUGAGCAGCCUUUUACUCCAGCUGCUCUGACAUGCAGGUCCCUUGACUUAUGUCAGUUGUUUUCUGUUGCACCCUUGCCUCUGGAUCCUGUUGUGUCCCUGUCUGAGGUGGCAUUUCCCAUCCCUGUGGUGGUGCUGCCAAGCACGAGCCAGCUCUGCAUUGCUUUGUGGCCACCAGAAGUCAACAAGAGUGUCUUGCUGAUCCUGUAUCUCUGCUCAAAAUAAACUGGGUUCUGCUAAAUGCCAUUCUAAACAAAAUGUUGGUUAAGCUCUUGGCUGUUUUGCAAGAGGCCUCUGAUUUCAUGGGUAAUCAGAGCACUCAAUACAGCUGGCAAAACCCUCUCAGUGUAGAAGAGACUUCCCUCUUGAGCUAUUGUCUACUAAAUUGCAUUUAGAAAAAGCAAGGCUGCUUGAAAAAACAAGACUUUCAUUAUAAGGUGUGCAAACUUUAUAAGCCAGAGUGGGUCUUUAAAGAUCAAAUGCUUUUAAUUGGUUUUUUCUUAUGUAGCUAUUUGCAAAGCUUUCAAUCAUGUUUGUCUCUGGUUCUAGCUAGUAAUGCAGUGGCUGGAUACAAACACCUUCU